AACGAACGCUGGCGGCAGGCUUAACACAUGCAAGUCGAACGGUUGUAGCAAUACAGCAGUGGCAGACGGGUGAGUAACACGUGGGAACCUUCCUAGGGGUACGGAACAACUCAGGGAAACUUGAGCUAAUACCGUAUACGUCCGUGAGGAGAAAGAUUUAUCGCCCUUAGACGGGCCCGCGUGGAUUAGGUAGUUGGUGGGGUAAUGGCCUACCAAGCCUACGAUCCUUAGCUGAUCUGAGAGGAUGAUCAGCCACACUGGGACUGAGACACGGCCCAGACUCCUACGGGAGGCAGCAGUGGGGAAUCUUGGACAAUGGGCGCAAGCCUGAUCCAGCCAUGCCGCGUGAGUGAAGAAGGCCUCGGUUGUAAGU
Molecule: ribosomal RNA, 373 nt
Filed under: uncultured bacterium
Lineage: Bacteria
Description: bacterial SSU rRNA
Rfam family: Bacterial small subunit ribosomal RNA
Source: RNAcentral